Molecule: ribosomal RNA, 1548 nt
Filed under: Triticum aestivum (bread wheat)
Lineage: Eukaryota; Viridiplantae; Streptophyta; Magnoliopsida; Poales; Poaceae
Description: partial small subunit ribosomal RNA
Source: RNAcentral
AUGAACCGUGCAAGAAGAGGAGGGAGAUCAUUUUCCCUCUGGUUAUGUGCAGUGGUUUGUCUCAUGGCUCAGCCGGGAGCUUGCAGUGUGGUGCUGAUGGCGAAUAACACAACCUUGUCUUUCAGUGAUGUCGAGGCAACAUUUACUCCAGAAGUGAAAGGUUCAGGUUUAAACGGUGUAAUUUACACCGUCGAACCUCUUGAUGCUUGCAGUCCUCUGACAAAGAAAGCAGUCGAAGGGCCUGCAUCACCAUUUGCGUUGAUUUUAAGAGGCGGCUGCCAAUUUGAUGAUAAAGUCAGAAAUGCUCAGGAUGCCGGAUUCAAGGCUGUGAUAGUAUAUGAUAACAAAGACCACGGUGUCCUUGUUUCAAUGGCUGGAAGCUCAUCCGGUAUCGACAUAUAUGCGGUCUUCAUCUCUAAGACGUCAGGAGAGGUGUUGAAACUAUAUUCAGGUCAAAGUGAUGCUCAGGUGUGGAUAAUAUCAACGCGUGAUAACUCAGCUUUGUCAAUCAUGGCAAUAUCUUUCACAGCACUGCUUGCUAUGUCUGCUGUUCUGGCCACUUGUUUCUUUGUGAGAAGACACCAGAUGAGAAGGGACAGGGCUCGAAUACCUGCAGCACGAGAAUUUCAUGGAAUGAGCAGUCAGUUAGUCAAGGCAAUGCCGAGUCUUAUUUUUACAAAAGUCCAGGAAGACAAUUGUACUUCGUCAACAUGCGCCAUUUGCUUGGAAGACUACAGUGUUGGUGAAAAGAUAAGGGUGCUGCCUUGUCGUCACAAGUUCCAUGCUGCUUGCGUGGACCUGUGGCUCACAUCAUGGAGGACAUUCUGCCCUGUAUGCAAGCGAGAUGCAAAUGCUGGAAUGUCAAAUCUCCCUCCAUCAGAGUCUACCCCUUUGCUUUCUUCUGCUAUUCCCUUACCAGCUGAAUUGACAGCUUUGUCUUCUUUUCGUUCAAUGGUAGCAGCAUCUCCUCCAAGGACAAUAAGCCGGCAUCCUUCAUGGCAGUCCAUGUCCCGCACUAACUCCAAUUCCAGUAUCCUCCACACCCGUAACCCAUGCAGAUGUUUUUCCAACUCACCUGCUAUCAGUACAAGUAGGAGCAGUGUAGACCUUGCAAACAUGUCAUCGCCAUGGUCUAACACUCCGCACCUUGCAUCCGCGCACUCCCUGGGUGGAGGGCAUUUUUCUCCGCCGAUCAGCAUCGGAUACACAUCACCACAUGUCUCCCCUUUCGGCUACAGAUUCUCUGGACAGUUUAUAGGUUCACCCCACAUCCCCCGUUCUGAGAACGGGUCUCCAAGUUAUUAUCCUGGCUCUUCAGGGCAGCAGUACCCUUACCUGAGGCAUCGCACAGAGUCAGGGCCAAGCUUAUUUACCAUGGUGCCCCAGUCGCCACAACAGAUCCUGCUGCAGGAUGGUGGCGACUCGGCAACGAGUCUAUCAGCUUCAGCAUCGACCCAGUCGCUCCGUCAGGCCUACCUGCAGCAUUGCCCUGAUUCUGAUGUGAGCUUAUCUGCUGCAACAUCGGCUCAGUCGCUGCCAGGGUGCUGA